Oryza sativa Japonica Group (Japanese rice) is the source of this 506-nucleotide non-coding RNA. Lineage: Eukaryota; Viridiplantae; Streptophyta; Magnoliopsida; Poales; Poaceae. The record is from RefSeq and is a predicted model, not a curated record.
UACCUGACAAGGUGGAGAGAUGAAAACAAGCGAAGCAGCAAGGCAUGAGAGCAAUUUUGUGGAUAAUACUCCAUGAGCAUUCAGUGGCACCUUGUCAUGCAGAGAGCAUCUGAAAUUAUUUCGUCCAGCGGGUCUGCAUUUUCUCCUACCAAUAAGAAGAUUACUUAUCAGCAUUUUCAUCCAGUGAAUACAAUAGAACAGCACCUGAUCUAGCCUUAUACAACUUUGAUCCAAGAAAAAUCAACUGCGUGUUGCUGCCACUGGCGCUUGUUACCUGGAAGAGCAAGCAGGGUGUGGCGCCGCAAGAGAAGAAGAGGAGGAGCCCAACAGCAGAGCGAGAACCAUGGCUUCCUCCCGCCGCCGCCGUCGCCGUCGUCUCCCACUGUCUUAGGCCGAGUAAACCGUUUUCUCGAGAUUACGCGGUUGCAGCUUCUUGAGUGGUUUUUGGCUUUCGAUGUCUGCAGGUGCGGGAGAGAGAGAGAGGAGCCGAAUUGCUGGAGACCGAU